UACGUAGGUGGCGAGCGUUGUCCGGAUUUACUGGGCGUAAAGGGAGCGUAGGCGGACUUUUAAGUGAGAUGUGAAAUACCCGGGCUCAACUUGGGUGCUGCAUUUCAAACUGGAAGUCUAGAGUGCAGGAGAGGAGAAUGGAAUUCCUAGUGUAGCGGUGAAAUGCCUAGAGAUUAGGAAGAACACCAGUGGCGAAGGCGAUUCUCUGGACUGUAACUGACGCUGAGGCUCGAAAGCGUGGGGAGCAAACAGGAUUAGAUACCCCUGUA
This 269-nucleotide ribosomal RNA is filed under the name uncultured prokaryote. Its description in RNAcentral is "partial 16S ribosomal RNA". It matches the Rfam family "Bacterial small subunit ribosomal RNA", at positions 524 to 792 of the family's 1533-position model. The record is from RNAcentral.